CAUGGGCGAAGCCUGCUCCAGCGACGCCGCGUGGGGGACGAAGCCCUUCGGGGUGUAAACCCCUGUUGCGAGGGAGGAAUAAGACCUGGAGGAAAUGCCAGGUCGAUGACUGUACCUCGCGAGAAAGCCCCGGCUAACUACGUGCCAGCAGCCGCGGUAAU
RNAcentral lists this ribosomal RNA (161 nucleotides) under uncultured bacterium. Its description in RNAcentral is "partial 16S ribosomal RNA". It matches the Rfam family "Bacterial small subunit ribosomal RNA", at positions 370 to 524 of the family's 1533-position model. The record is from RNAcentral.